Molecule: long non-coding RNA, 1135 nt
Filed under: Capra hircus (goat)
Lineage: Eukaryota; Metazoa; Chordata; Mammalia; Artiodactyla; Bovidae
Description: lncRNA (ENSCHIG00000004809.1)
Source: RNAcentral
GCAUUAUUUUUGUUUGGUUAGUUUGACUUUUAUUGAAGUAUAGUUGAUUAAUAAUACUGUGUUAGUUUCAGGUGUUCACCACAGCAAUUCAUAUAUAUAUAACUUAUCUAUAUAUAAUUUAUAUAUAUAUAAUUUUGGUGGAGGAAAUGGGAAACAUUGCUUACACAAAUUCUGACACCUUCUCUUGUGGUUUAGAAAAAUGAUGGAUAUGGAAGGCAGAAGAGUGUACAAAGAGAGGAAAGAAACGGUAGGACAGGAAAAUAAAUGCAAGGCCAUAACAUUUUGAAGGCCAGGAAAGGGGCUGCGCGUGCUGCAUUAGCCUAAACGUGGCGGAAGGAAAGCAGGGAGGCAGGGGGGUGCUUCUCCCGCAAGUCCUGAUGGGAGGGGUUUCCAGAAAACGGCUGGCCGCGCGUGCGGUGCUUUACUCACGUCUGGAGACAGCUCAAUAAAGCAGCUUUUCCUUUUCCAGAAACACGCCAAUGCACCGAGACAAGACUUGAAUGAAGCGAUAAUGUAAAUUAGAGAAAGGAGAUAAAAAUAACCUCUGGAUAUCCCUCUUGUAUGAGAUUUAUUCUGGAUGAAGCAUUAAGAUCGUUACUGGAAGUGUAUUACUAGGGAAGAAAGAAGCAAUUGAAAGUUCUGAAAAGGGCACCACUAUAAAUGUUGGAAAGAGGCCUGGAGAGAAGAAUCAUAAAAAUAUGAUUUCAUCAACACUUUUUUUUAGAGGAAAGAAAGACAGGGUUCUUAUCAUAGAAAUUGUUAUUUUUGAACAAUUUACUUUUACUCUAUGUCUUCUGUUAAAGGGUCAUCACUAAAUUGUUGGAAAGUGUCACAUAGAUCAGUCUUGUUAACUUUAUAGUUAAAGGCCUUGUAAAUCUACUGCCAUGUGUAAAGAAUGAAAUCUACUGAUAAAUUCUGUUUCCUUACAGUUACUUUUUAGUAUCUAGAGUAAAACUGUGACAAAGAGCAAACUGACCAGUUCACUGACCAGUUGUGUGUGUGUGUGUGUAUAUAUAUAUAUAUAGUAAUAGUUCUAUAUAUAUAUAUAGUAAUUUAUAUAAAAUAGAUAUUACAUUGUGGUCUCAGUAUUAUAAUUACAUCUAUAUAUUUUUGUAAUGCUAAAAGCAUCUGUACA